AAUGGGCGCAAGCCUGAUCCAGCCAUGCCGCGUGAGUGAUGAAGGCCCUAGGGUCGUAAAGCUCUUUCGCCAGGGAUGAUAAUGACAGUACCUGGUAAAGAAACCCCGGCUAACUCCGUGCCAGCAGCCGCGGUAAUACGGAGGGGGUUAGCGUUGUUCGGAAUUACUGGGCGUAAAGCGUACGUAGGCGGACUAGAAAGUUAGGGGUGAAAUCCCGAGGCUCAACCUCGGAACUGCCUCUAAAACUCCUAGUCUUGAGAUCGAGAGAGGUGAGUGGAAUUCCAAGUGUAGAGGUGAAAUUCGUAGAUAUUUGGAGGAACACCAGUGGCGAAGGCGGCUCACUGGCUCGAUACUGACGCUGAGGUACGAAAGUGUGGGGAGCAAACAGGAUU
This 392-nucleotide ribosomal RNA is filed under the name uncultured Gammaproteobacteria bacterium. RNAcentral's name for it is "bacterial SSU rRNA". It matches the Rfam family "Bacterial small subunit ribosomal RNA", at positions 370 to 779 of the family's 1533-position model. Lineage: Bacteria; Pseudomonadati; Pseudomonadota; Gammaproteobacteria. The record is from RNAcentral.